AAAGCUGAUUGUGAUAGUUCUUAGAUAUUCCCUCAAUAUCCAGCAACGAUUAUACAUGGAUGUAUAAUCGAGCGAAAACGAAACAUGGAUGUUUCGUAUGAGCGGUUGUGUCCGUAAACAAUACCUACAUGGAAUAUCUUAGAAAUAUCCAAUCAG
Molecule: non-coding RNA, 156 nt
Filed under: uncultured Lachnospira sp.
Lineage: Bacteria; Bacillati; Bacillota; Clostridia; Lachnospirales; Lachnospiraceae
Source: RNAcentral